GUGGGUAGUUUGACUGGGGCGGUCUCCUCCUAAAGAGUAACGGAGGAGCACGAAGGUUGGCUAAUCCUGGUCGGACAUCAGGAGGUUAGUGCAAUGGCAUAAGCCAGCUUGACUGCGAGCGUGACGGCGCGAGCAGGUGCGAAAGCAGGUCAUAGUGAUCCGGUGGUUCUGAAUGGAAGGGCCAUCGCUCAACGGAUAAAAGGUACUCCGGGGAUAACAGGCUGAUACCGCCCAAGAGUUCAUAUCGACGGCGGUGUUUGGCACCUCGAUGUCGGCUCAUCACAUCCUGGGGCUGAAGUAGGUCCCAAGGGUAUGGCUGUUCGCCAUUUAAAGUGGUACGCGAGCUGGGUUUAGAACGUCGUGAGACAGUUCGGUCCCUAUCUGCCGUGGGCGCUGGAGAACUGAGGGGGGCUGCUCCUAGUACGAGAGGACCGGAGUGGACGCAUCACUGGUGUUCGGGUUGUCAUGCCAAUGGCACUGCCCGGUAGCUAAAUGCGGAAGAGAUAAGUGCUGAAAGCAUCUAAGCACGAAACUUGCCCCGAGAUGAGUUCUCCCUGAGACUUUAGGUCUCCUGAAGGAACGUUGAAGACGACGACGUUGAUAGGCC
This 607-nucleotide ribosomal RNA is filed under the name Salmonella enterica. Its description in RNAcentral is "partial 23S ribosomal RNA". It matches the Rfam family "Bacterial large subunit ribosomal RNA", at positions 2261 to 2862 of the family's 2925-position model. The record is from RNAcentral. Lineage: Bacteria; Pseudomonadati; Pseudomonadota; Gammaproteobacteria; Enterobacterales; Enterobacteriaceae.